AGAGUUUGAUCAUGGCUCAGAUUGAACGCUGGCGGCAGGCCUAACACAUGCAAGUCGAGCGGUAGCACAGAGAGCUUGCUCUCGGGUGACGAGCGGCGGACGGGUGAGUAAUGUCUGGGAAACUGCCUGAUGGAGGGGGAUAACUACUGGAAACGGUAGCUAAUACCGCAUAAUGUCGCAAGACCAAAGUGGGGGACCUUCGGGCCUCAUGCCAUCAGAUGUGCCCAGAUGGGAUUAGCUAGUAGGUGGGGUAACGGCUCACCUAGGCGACGAUCCCUAGCUGGUCUGAGAGGAUGACCAGCCACACUGGAACUGAGACACGGUCCAGACUCCUACGGGAGGCAGCAGUGGGGAAUAUUGCACAAUGGGCGCAAGCCUGAUGCAGCCAUGCCGCGUGUGUGAAGAAGGCCUUCGGGUUGUAAAGCACUUUCAGCGGGGAGGAAGGCGGUAAGGUUAAUAACCUUGUCGAUUGACGUACCCGCAGAAGAAGCACCGGCUAUG
RNAcentral lists this ribosomal RNA (501 nucleotides) under Klebsiella pneumoniae. Its description in RNAcentral is "bacterial SSU rRNA". It matches the Rfam family "Bacterial small subunit ribosomal RNA", at positions 8 to 501 of the family's 1533-position model. Lineage: Bacteria; Pseudomonadati; Pseudomonadota; Gammaproteobacteria; Enterobacterales; Enterobacteriaceae. The record is from RNAcentral.